Musa acuminata AAA Group (dessert banana) is the source of this 1334-nucleotide RNA transcript. It is a transcript of the gene named jasmonate-induced oxygenase 1, with no coding region annotated. NCBI's taxonomy places the organism in Eukaryota, Viridiplantae, Streptophyta, Magnoliopsida, Zingiberales, Musaceae. The transcript has 3 exons. The record is from RefSeq and is a predicted model, not a curated record.
AAACAAACAAGUUCGCCUACUGUGAUACCGUUGUUGUUGGGGUUGUCAUCGUCUCUGCUUCUGGAGCUUGGAGUUGCAGUAAGCUCAUGGACUGCCUUCAGGAAUGGCCAGAACCGGUUGUUCAUGUCCAGGCCUUGUCGGACAGCGCUCUGACGACGAUUCCAGACCUGUACAUCAAGCCGCCGUCCGAGCGCCCGUCGUCGGACAAAGGCGUCGCCACGCCCCACAUCCCGGUGAUCGACCUGGGAGGGCUGGCGGAGGGCGCGGCUGAAUGCCGCGCCACCAUCUGCGCCGUGGCGGACGCGUGCCGCUCCUGGGGAUUCUUCCAGGUGGUGAACCACGGGGUGAGCCCGGACCUGGUCAGGAAGGUCCGGGAGGUAUGGCGAGGCUUCUUCCGCCUCCCCAUGGCGGAGAAGCAAGCGUACGCCAACAACCCCAGGACUUACGAAGGCUACGGCAGCCGCGUCGGCGUCGAAAAAGGUGCCAUCUUGGAUUGGGGUGACUACUUCUACCUCCACCUCCUCCCCGAGUCCAUCAAGAACCAAGACAAAUGGCCUGCCCUGCCGUCUUCUUGCAGGCAGACGGUGCAGGAGUACGGAGACGAGAUGGUGAAGCUGUGUGGGACGCUGAUGAAGGUGCUGUCCAUAAGCCUGGGCUUGGACGUGGAUCAACUGCAGGCCGCCUUCGGAGGCGACGACGUGGGCGCCUGCCUCCGCGUGAACUACUAUCCGAGGUGCCCGCAGCCGGAGCUCACCCUCGGCCUCUCCCCGCACUCCGACCCGGGCGGCCUCACCGCCCUCCUGGCUGACGACUGCGUCAAGGGCCUCCAAGUUCGGAGAGGCGACGAUUGGGUGACCGUCCAGCCCGUCGCCGGCGCUUUCAUCGUCAACAUCGGCGACCAGAUUCAGGUGCUCUCGCUCUCUCUCUCUCUCUCGGCGAUUCCUCGAGGUCAAAGUUUUAGCCGUUUUGUUCCCGCGGAUCUUUACGUCGUCCAGGGAAACUGGAGUCACAUGCAAGCAUAUCUCAACCAUGUCCUGUGAGACGACGCUUGUCUGCAAAGUUGUCUUCCCUCCGCAACCUUCCUCGUUCACUCUGACAACCUUCCUCUUGCGGUGUUCGUUGUGAGCGUUACUUUAUGAUUCCGUUGACCCAUCUCACCGCCCAGCUUGUGUCUUCUGCCACUUGUUCCAAUCAUACAUUUUGAGUAACGCAAAGUAUAAGAGCGUUGAACAUCGAGUGACAGUGAAUGCAGCGCAGGAGAGACUGUCGCUCGCCUUCUUCUACAAUCCGCGGAGCGACUGGCCGAUCGCGCCGGUCGGCCAGCUCGUGACGCC